Achroia grisella is the source of this 988-nucleotide long non-coding RNA. RefSeq lists it as uncharacterized. Lineage: Eukaryota; Metazoa; Arthropoda; Insecta; Lepidoptera; Pyralidae. The transcript has 3 exons. The record is from RefSeq and is a predicted model, not a curated record.
AUCUGGAUUUGAUGUUUUUAAAUUAACUUUGAAUCUAUAUUAUUUUUAAAUAAACUACUUAUAUAUAUAUACUUCCUUGUCUGCCUGUACAAGUAGCAAUGCAUACAUGAAAUAUUUCUUUAGUUACAAACAAGAAAAUUAUAUCUUGUCUACAUCUGUCUUAGCCUUAUAAAUCCAGAUUUUUAUGAUUUUUGACCGCCGUACUUAGAUAACGCCCCAAGUUUAUAAUUCUUUGUCGCUAGGAUUAGUCGUAGUAUUUUUUUGUGGAUAAUGAUCGAAUGGUGUACCAGUGCACGAUGAUAGAAGAUAAAGUCAGAUCAGUUAGCCCAACGAUACGAAUUAGACGAACCAGGAAUUAACCAGCAUGGUUUCCAAAGGAAGCAGCGUAAAGUUCGACAUGAUAUUGGUAUAAGGGCUCCUAUUACUGACAAUCUCGUCCUCCGUCGAUUGGUCGCUUUAUGCGUGGCUAAAUAAAUUCACAGGGUAUCACAAUUGGCUAUAGGAGCAAAUUUCACUAAUUGGAAAAUUCCUAUAAAUGUCCUAUUAGACGAAAAGGGGAAGAAAUUUGAACGUUUAAGAUGAGGAGAGCAAGGCUAAAUAAAAAGUCAAUCCGUUAAGGAAACCUGAUUAUUUACCAUUUCAUGUAAAGAAGAUGCUCGCACUGGUAACUACAGCAUUGCAUAGUAACAAGUCUGCAUUGCGAUGACGACACACUCGACAGAGUCAAGUUCAAUGCUCCAAUCAAGAUAAAGGAGUGUUUUCUUAGCAUUAAACGGAACCAUAAUUGGUUCCGUUUAAGUGAUGAGGAUUAAUACAUCUUAAUACACUAAUGCGAAGCUCAUUUGAUAUUAUACAUUAAAACGUAGAAAAUAACAUGAAUUAACACGUUGACGUUGAUGCAGACGAAGUUACGCAGACUUUGUCUGCAUCACACUUGAUACUCUAUAUUUCGCCCAAUUUACAUAAUAUAUUUUUAAAUUAUUGUCUA